AUUGAACGCUGGCGGCAGGCCUAACACAUGCCAGUCGAGCGGAUGAAGGGAGCUUGCUCCUGGAUUCAGCGGCGGACGGGUGAGUAAUGCCUAGGAAUCUGCCUGGUAGUGGGGGAUAACGUCCGGAAACGGGCGCUAAUACCGCAUACGUCCUGAGGGAGAAAGUGGGGGAUCUUCGGACCUCACGCUAUCAGAUGAGCCUAGGUCGGAUUAGCUAGUUGGUGGGGUAAAGGCCUACCAAGGCGACGAUCCGUAACUGGUCUGAGAGGAUGAUCAGUCACACUGGAACUGAGACACGGUCCAGACUCCUACGGGAGGCAGCAGUGGGGAAUAUUGGACAAUGGGCGAAAGCCUGAUCCAGCCAUGCCGCGUGUGUGAAGAAGGUCUUCGGAUUGUAAAGCACUUUAGGUUGGGAGGAAGGGCAGUAAGUUAAUACCUUGCUGUUUUGACGUUACCAACAGAAUAAGCACCGGCUAACUUCGUG
RNAcentral lists this ribosomal RNA (484 nucleotides) under uncultured bacterium. RNAcentral's name for it is "partial 16S ribosomal RNA". It matches the Rfam family "Bacterial small subunit ribosomal RNA", at positions 30 to 507 of the family's 1533-position model. The record is from RNAcentral.